AGAGUUUGAUCAUGGCUCAGAACGUACGCUGGCGGCACGCCUAAUACAUGCAAGUCGAACGAAGUAGCAAUACUUAGUGGCAGACGGGUGAGUAACAUGUAGGUAUCUACCCUUUGGCCUGGAAUAACACGAGGAAACUUGUGCUAAUACCGGAUAAGUCUUUACGGAGAAAGCUUUAUGCACCAUUGGAUGAGCCUGCACUUGAUUAGUUUGUUGGUGGGGUAAUGGCCUACCAAGACAAUGAUCAAUAGCUGAUUUGAGAGGAUGAUCAGCCACAUUGGGACUGAGACACGGCCCAAACUCCUACGGGAGGCAGCAGUAGGGAAUCUUGCACAAUGGAGGAAACUCUGAUGCAGCGAUGCCGCGUGAGUGAAGAAGGCCUUUGGGUUGUAAAGCUCUUUCGUCGGGGAAGAAAAUGGCUGUACCCGAAUAAGAAGGUCCGGCUAACUUCGUGCCAGCAGCCGCGGUAAUACGAAGGGACCUAGCGUAGUUCGGAAUUACUGGGCUUAAAGAGUUCGUAGGUGGUUAAAAAAGUUGGUGGUGAAAUCCCAGAGCUUAACUCUGGAACUGCCAUCAAAACUUUUUAGCUAGAGUAUGAUAGAGGAAAGCGGAAUUUCUAGUGUAGAGGUGAAAUUCGUAGAUAUUAGAAAGAAUACCGAUUGCGAAGGCAGCUUUCUGGAUCAUUACUGACACUG
This 695-nucleotide ribosomal RNA is filed under the name uncultured bacterium. RNAcentral describes it as "bacterial SSU rRNA". It matches the Rfam family "Bacterial small subunit ribosomal RNA", at positions 8 to 748 of the family's 1533-position model. The record is from RNAcentral.